GGCUGGUCCGAUGGUAGUGGGUUAUCAGAACUUAUUCACAUUAGUGUCACUAAAGUUGGUAUUCAACCCCCCACUGCUAAAUUUGACUGGCUU
Molecule: Y RNA, 93 nt
Filed under: Microcebus murinus (gray mouse lemur)
Lineage: Eukaryota; Metazoa; Chordata; Mammalia; Primates; Cheirogaleidae
Description: Y RNA (ENSMICG00000046518.1)
Rfam family: Y RNA
About the family: Y RNAs are components of the Ro ribonucleoprotein particle (Ro RNP), in association with Ro60 and La proteins. The Y RNAs and Ro60 and La proteins are well conserved, but the function of the Ro RNP is not known. In humans the RNA component can be one of four small RNAs -- hY1, hY3, hY4 and hY5.
Source: Rfam by way of RNAcentral